UACGAAGGGUGCUAGCGUUGUUCGGAAUUACUGGGCGUAAAGGGUGCGUAGGUUGUUUGGCAAGUUAGUGGUGAAAGCCCAGAGCUUAACUCUGGAAUUGCCAUUAAAACUGCCAGGCUAGAGAGUGUUAGAGGUGAGUGGAAUUUCUAGUGUAGGAGUGAGAUCCGUAGAUAUUAGAAGGAACAUCAAUGGCGAAGGCAGCUCACUGGGUCACAUCUGACACUGAGGCACGAAAGCGUGGGGAGCAAACAGG
Molecule: ribosomal RNA, 253 nt
Filed under: uncultured bacterium
Lineage: Bacteria
Description: partial 16S ribosomal RNA
Rfam family: Bacterial small subunit ribosomal RNA
Source: RNAcentral